Molecule: ribosomal RNA, 253 nt
Filed under: uncultured bacterium
Lineage: Bacteria
Description: partial 16S ribosomal RNA
Rfam family: Bacterial small subunit ribosomal RNA
Source: RNAcentral
GACGAACCGUGCGAACGUUGUUCGGAAUCACUGGGCAUAAAGGGCGCGUAGGCGGCCCGCGAGGUCGGGGGUGAAAUCCCACGGCUUAACCGUGGAAGGGCCUCCGAUACCGGCGGGCUGGAGGGAGGUAGGGGUGCGCGGAACUUCUGGUGGAGCGGUGAAAUGCGUUGAUAUCAGAAGGAACGCCGGCGGCGAAAGCGGCGCGCUGGACCUCUUCUGACGCUGAGGCGCGAAAGCCAGGGGAGCAAACGGG